Molecule: ribosomal RNA, 445 nt
Filed under: uncultured bacterium
Lineage: Bacteria
Description: partial 16S ribosomal RNA
Rfam family: Bacterial small subunit ribosomal RNA
Source: RNAcentral
GUGAGGAAUAUUGGUCAAUGGACGGAAGUCUGAACCAGCCAUGCCGCGUGAAGGAUGAAGGCGUUCUGCGUUGUAAACUUCUUUUAUUUAGGAAGAAACCACCGAUUUCUAUUGGUGUUGACGGUAUUAAAUGAAUAAGCACCGGCUAACUCCGUGCCAGCAGCCGCGGUAAUACGGAGGGUGCGAGCGUUAUCCGGAUUUACUGGGUUUAAAGGGUGCGCAGGCGGUCUUAUAAGUCCGGGGUGAAAUACUACAGCUCAACUGUAGAACUGCCUUGGAUACUAUAGGACUUGAAUCGAGUAUAGGUCAGCGGAAUACAACAUGUAGCGGUGAAAUGCAUAGAUAUGUUGUGGAACACCGAUUGCGAAGGCAGCUGACUGGGCUUGAAUUGACGCUCAGGCACGAAAGCGUGGGUAGCGAACAGGAUUAGAUACCCGGGUAGUCC